Molecule: ribosomal RNA, 497 nt
Filed under: uncultured bacterium
Lineage: Bacteria
Description: partial 16S ribosomal RNA
Rfam family: Bacterial small subunit ribosomal RNA
Source: RNAcentral
GAUGAACGCUGGCGGCGUGCCUAAUACAUGCAAGUCGAGCGAACAGACGAGGAGCUUGCUCCUCUGACGUUAGCGGCGGACGGGUGAGUAACACGUGGAUAACCUACCUAUAAGACUGGGAUAACUUCGGGAAACCGGAGCUAAUACCGGAUAAUAUAUUGAACCGCAUGGUUCAAUAGUGAAAGACGGUUUUGCUGUCACUUAUAGAUGGAUCCGCGCCGCAUUAGCUAGUUGGUAAGGUAACGGCUUACCAAGGCGACGAUGCGUAGCCGACCUGAGAGGGUGAUCGGCCACACUGGAACUGAGACACGGUCCAGACUCCUACGGGAGGCAGCAGUAGGGAAUCUUCCGCAAUGGGCGAAAGCCUGACGGAGCAACGCCGCGUGAGUGAUGAAGCUCUUCGGAUCGUAAAACUCUGUUAUUAGGGAAGAACAAAUGUGUAAGUAACUAUGCACGUCUUGACGGUACCUAAUCAGAAAGCCACGGCUAACUACGUG